Molecule: long non-coding RNA, 596 nt
Organism: Lycium barbarum (goji berry)
Lineage: Eukaryota; Viridiplantae; Streptophyta; Magnoliopsida; Solanales; Solanaceae
Exons: 4
Source: RefSeq, a predicted model, not a curated record
CUUAAGAGUUAGAGGAAGGGUUUCCUCUAUGAAACCCUAGCCGCCUCCUCCCUUCUCUCUCUUCUCUAACGUCACACACGCUGGAAUUGGCAAAGAUAAGGGCCCGCAUCGGUUCCUCUAGCUACGGUAUGACCGAGAAUGGCAAUAGCAUUAAUUGCUCUACCAUUUCUCAACCAAAACCACCAAAGACCGAUCCAAACACGGGUUGAGGAAGCAAGGAUUUCUUCCAAGUUCAAUCUCGACAUUGGCUGCACUCACAAAAGAUUUUGGACGAAAUUGAAGUUGACGCCAAGCGAGCGUAAGGCGCUAUCGAGGUACAGAAGCACCAGGUGAUACGCCGCCAGCGUAGGUUUCUGAUUCAGCUGUUUUGAAGAGCUCCUUUGAUCCGGAGCGUAUAUUUUUGGUAUAUAUCUCCUGUCUUCUGUAUACUCUGUAUGUAUGGAUAUUCUGGGUACGGCGGGGCCCUGUCCCGUCAUAUGACUCUGUAUGUCUGUAGAGGCCUGUAGAUAGAUGUGUGGGUUACGGGUUUCGUCUGUAUGUUAGCCUUAUCGGCUUAUCUGUAUGUUUCUGUAUGUUCAGAUAUAUAUAUGUUUGCG